RNAcentral lists this ribosomal RNA (427 nucleotides) under uncultured Acidobacteriota bacterium. Its description in RNAcentral is "bacterial SSU rRNA". It matches the Rfam family "Bacterial small subunit ribosomal RNA", at positions 958 to 1385 of the family's 1533-position model. Lineage: Bacteria; Pseudomonadati; Acidobacteriota. The record is from RNAcentral.
AACGCGAAGAACCUUACCUGGGCUUGAACCGCCGGUGACCAGCGGUGGAAACAUCGCCUUCUCGCAAGAGACACCGGUAGAGGUGCUGCAUGGCUGUCGUCAGCUCGUGCCGUGAGGUGUUGGGUUAAGUCCCGCAACGAGCGCAACCCUUACUCUUAGUUGCCACCCGCAAGGGGGAACUCUAAGAGGACUGCUCCGGAUAACGGAGAGGAAGGUGGGGAUGACGUCAAGUCAGCACGGCCUUUAUGUCCAGGGCUACACACGUGUUACAAUGCACGGUACAAACCGUCGCGAACCCGCGAGGGGGAGCUAAUCGGAGAAAACCGUGCUCAGUUCGGAUUGCAGUCUGCAACUCGACUGCAUGAAGCCGGAAUCGCUAGUAAUGGCGUAUCAGAACGACGCCGUGAAUACGUUCCCGGGCCUUGUA